GCCACCUUAGCUCAGUUGGUAGAGCGGCUGUCUUGUAAACAGCAGGUCGUCGGUUCAAUCCCGACAGGUGGCUCCA
This 76-nucleotide transfer RNA is filed under the name Candidatus Peregrinibacteria bacterium. RNAcentral's name for it is "tRNA-Thr". It matches the Rfam family "tRNA". From Rfam's summary of the family: Transfer RNA (tRNA) molecules are approximately 80 nucleotides in length. Lineage: Bacteria; Candidatus Peregrinibacteriota. The record is from RNAcentral.